UUCCUUCGGGACACGGGAUACAGGUGGUGCAUGGUUGUCGUCAGCUCGUGUCGUGAGAUGUUGGGUUAAGUCCCGCAACGAGCGCAACCCUUAUUGCUAGUUGCCAUCAUUAAGUUGGGCACUCUAACGAGACUGCC
This 137-nucleotide ribosomal RNA is filed under the name uncultured bacterium. Its description in RNAcentral is "partial 16S ribosomal RNA". It matches the Rfam family "Bacterial small subunit ribosomal RNA", at positions 1014 to 1153 of the family's 1533-position model. The record is from RNAcentral.